UCCCCUCUUUGCAUAUCCAAACGCAUCCUCAUCUUCUUCUACCUGAAAAUACCAACACGUUGGUUCAUGGCUUCUUCACUGUGAACUUCAACAAUCAUUCCUAUUGAAGUCUUGGACUCUCCCUCUUUACUUUCCCAAUGCCACUUCACUUUCCUCUUUCCCCUCCCUCGAUGAUCUCCUUCAUCGUCAACAAGUUAGCUCCUUCACAUUCUUGCCUCACCUUUCAACUAUUGUAUCAAUUUCCGCACCGAUUUCAAGUUCACACGCGGCGCCCACGCCAUCAAUUUCAGGUACGGCGUCGGUUCUCCACUCAUGCGGCAGCAGCAACCCACCACCACAACGGCUACCAGAGUACUCCUGUUGGAACAAUUGAUGAAAGAUACGAUGUCAUUGUGGUUGGAGGAGGACAUGCAGGUUGUGAAGCAGCCCUUGCAUCUGCUCGUUUAGGGGCAAAAACUCUUCUUCUCACCCUAAAUAUAGAUCGAAUAGCAUGGCAGGUUAUCAUUUCCAGCAAAUCUUAUAGGCACUCUUGGUCAUGUUGUUGAAUGCCAAGUCUUCAUUGGAGGAACAGUUGCAAUUAAUGUUUUUGGACGUAAUCUAUAGUUGCUCCUUGCAACCCAGCAGUCGGUGGACCUGCAAAAUCACAACUAGUUCAUGAAGUGGAUGCACUUGGUGGUGAAAUUGGGAAGGUUGCAGAUAGGUGCUAUUUACAAAAGCGAGUGCUGAACAUCUCAAGAGGUCCUGCUGUUCGAGCGUUGCGUGCACAAACUGACAAAAGGGAAUAUGCUAUGGAAAUGAAAAGGAUAGUGGAGAGCACUCCAAACCUUUCUAUCAGAGAGGCAAUGGUAACAAAUCUCUUGCUAGGAAAAAAUGACAAUGUGGAAGGUGUCAGCACUUUUUUUGGAAUGAAUUUCUAUGCUUCUUCAGUUAUUCUCACUACUGGAACUUUUAUGAGUGGUAAAAUAUGGGUUGGUAGAACUUCUAUGCCGGCAGGAAGAGCUGGUGAGUCAGCUUCACAAGGACUCACUGAGAACUUGCAACACCUUGGAUUUGAAACUGAUCGGUUGAAAACUGGAACUCCAGCCCGCGUGGACAUUCGGACGGUGGAUUUUUCCAGAUUGGAACCUCAGCAUGGGGAUGAAGAGGUCAACUGGUUUAGUUUUGAUCCUAACGUACACAUUGAAAGGGAACAAAUGUGUUGCUAUCUGACGCGUACUACAAAAAUCACUCAUCAGCUUAUAAAGGAGAACUUACAUGAAACUCCAACUUAUGGAGGGUGGGUUGAAGCAAAAGGGCCUAGAUACUGCCCGUCCAUUGAAGAUAAGAUUGUGAGAUUUCAUGAUAAAGAAUCGCAUCAGAUUUUUCUUGAACCAGAGGGUCGAAAUGUGCCUGAGCUAUAUGUGCAGGGGUUCUCAACUGGUUUACCUGAGAAACUACAGUUACCACUCUUGAGAACUUUGCCUGGACUUGAAGACUGUUCAAUGCUAAGGCCUGCGUAUGCUGUGGAGUAUGAUUUCUUGCCUGCACAUCAAUGCUCUAGGUCUCUCAUGACAAAGAAGGUCGAGGGACUUUUUUUCUCUGGUCAGAUAAAUGGGACAACAGGUUAUGAAGAGGCUGCAGCACAGGGAAUUAUUUCUGGCAUUAAUGCUGCAAGACAUUCAGAUGGUAAGCCCCUCAUUGUUCUUGAGAGGGAAAGCAGUUAUAUAGGCACUUUAAUUGAUGAUCUGGUCACCAAGGACCUUCGAGAGCCAUACCGUAUGUUAACAAGUCGCUCUGAACACCGGUUGCUUCUCCGAUCUGAUAACGCUGAUAGUCGACUUACACCUCUGGGGAAUGAAAUUGGUUUGAUAGAUGAUAGACGGUGGAAACUAUACCUGGAUAAGCAAGCUAGAAUUUCUGAGGAGAAGAAGCGUUUGAAAACUGUCAGAAUUUCAGGAGGGGAUUUGGCUGCUGACAUUACUCGUCUGUCUGGACAGCCUGUAAGGGACUCUUCAACGCUGGAGAGUCUUUUGAAAAAACCACACAUCCAGUAUGAGGUACUGGAUAAGCAUGGUUUUGGAAAUAAGCUUCUAUCUAGAGAGGAUAAAGAGUGUGUUGAGAUUGAUGUCAAGUAUGAAGGCUUCAUUAUACGUCAACAGAUCCAACUCCAACAGAUGGCCCAUCAACAAAACAGACCACUUCCAGAGGACUUGGAUUACCAUGCAAUGACAACUUUGUCUCUUGAAGCACGUGAGAAACUCUCCAAGGUGAGGCCACAAACUAUUGGCCAAGCAAGCAGAGUAGGUGGGGUGAGCCCUGCUGACAUCACUGCGCUUCUUAUAAUCCUAGAAUCCCACAGAAGGAAAGCCAAAGAACAGAAGAGGCACCAAAUGCUGAAUUCUGUUGUGACAGAAACAAAUCCCAUGUCCAAUGUCCCUUUGACCGAGACAAUCAGCACUUGAUGUGUUCCCUGUGCGCUAUUAUUCAUUUUCAUCGUUUGUCAGCUUCAGAAUUGUGUCAAGCAUGUAUGGCACUGGCAGUUCUUCAGAGGAGUCGGAGGCAAGAGUAGGAUGAAGCCGAGAUUUUACUUCUUACAAUAUUCAGGCCUUCUGAUAAGGGAUAAUGGUAACUUUCAACAAGCUGUUAGGCAGAUGGAACUUGAUGCAUCUGCCGUCAGUUGGCGUUCACUUGUUCUGCCUCUGCUGACUACAGUAAAAUAUGAAGGUUAGAACAGAAGUCAAGCCUCAAAAAUUACAGCAAGUGUUUAAGACGAAUUUGUUUGGCAGUUAGUCUUGGUUCUAACAAUAGUUCACAUCCAAAUUUUCUUCGUUGUUCUAUGAAAUGUAUCAGGCAAUAUGUAUAUCCUUUGAAUCACUUAGGUCAAUGACCAUGGUCGACAAGGCUAUUCGCCCCC
This 2893-nucleotide unclassified non-coding RNA is filed under the name Hevea brasiliensis (rubber tree). The record is from RNAcentral. Lineage: Eukaryota; Viridiplantae; Streptophyta; Magnoliopsida; Malpighiales; Euphorbiaceae.